GACGAACGCUGGCGGCGUGCCUAAUACAUGCAAGUUGAGCGCUGAAGGUUGGUACUUGUACCAACUGGAUGAGCAGCGAACGGGUGAGUAACGCGUGGGGAAUCUGCCUUUGAGCGGGGGACAACAUUUGGAAACGAAUGCUAAUACCGCAUAAAAACUUUAAACACAAGUUUUAAGUUUGAAAGAUGCAAUUGCAUCACUCAAAGAUGAUCCCGCGUUGUAUUAGCUAGUUGGUGAGGUAAAGGCUCACCAAGGCGAUGAUACAUAGCCGACCUGAGAGGGUGAUCGGCCACAAUGGGACUGAGAAACGGCCCAAACUCCUACGGGAGGCAGCAGUAGGGAAUCUUCGGCAAUGGACGAAAGUCUGACCGAGCAACGCCGCGUGAGUGAAGAAGGGUUUCGGAUCGUAAAACUCUGUUGGUAGAGAAGAACGUUGGUGAGAGUGGAAAGCUCAUCAAGUGACGGUAACUACCCAGAAAGGGACGGCUAACUACGUG
RNAcentral lists this ribosomal RNA (497 nucleotides) under uncultured bacterium. RNAcentral's name for it is "partial 16S ribosomal RNA". It matches the Rfam family "Bacterial small subunit ribosomal RNA", at positions 28 to 507 of the family's 1533-position model. The record is from RNAcentral.